UGAAUACGAGAUGCUAAGGCGUCGAAGUAGUGUAUGUCAUACUUCCAAGAAAAGCUUGCACUGUCAUAAAUAGAAAAUGCCUGUACCAUAACCGACACAGGUGGGUAGGUAGAGUAUACUAAGGGGCGCGAGAUAACUCUCUCCAAGGAACUCGGCAAAAUGACUCCGUAACUUCGGGAGAAGGAGUGCCUUAUUCGUAAGGCUGCAAUAACAAGAUCCAAGCAACUGUUUAUCAAAAGCACAGGUCUCCGCUAAGUCGUAAGACGAUGUAUGGGGGCUGACGCCUGCCCAGUGCCAGAAGGUUAAAGAAGUUGGUUAGCAUUAGCGAAGCUGAUAACUGAAGCCCUGGUGAACGGCGGCCGUAACUAUAACGGUCCUAAGGUAGCGAAAUUCCUUGUCGGGUAAGUUCCGACCCGCACGAAAGGCGUAAUGAUUUGGAUACUGUCUCGGAGAGGGGCUCGGUGAAAUAGACUUGUCUGUGAAGAUGCGGACUACCUGCACCAGGACAGAAAGACCCUAUGAAGCUUUACUGUAACUUGAAAUUGAAAUUGGACUUUAGUCGCGCAGUAUAGUGGGAGGCGUUGAUGAUAUUCUUGCGGGAGUAUUGGAGCUAUCAGUGAGAUACCACUCUUCUAAUGUUAGAUUUCUAACUUUGAACCAUUAUCUGGUCAGAGAACAGUUUCAGGCGGGCAGUUUGACUGGGGCGGUCGCCUCCCAAAUGGUAACGGAGGCGUACAAAGGUUUCCUCUGAACGGGUAGAAAUCGUAUCUAGAGUGUAAAGGCAUAAGGAAGCUUGACUGUAAGACCUACAAGUCGAACAGGGACGAAAGUCGGUCUUAGUGAUCUGACGGUACUGAGUGGAAAGGCCGUCACUCAACGGAUAAAAGUUACUCUAAGGAUAACAGGCUGAUCUCCCCCAAGAGUUCACAUCGACGGGGAGGUUUGGCACCUCGAUGUCGGCUCAUCGCAUCCUGGGGCGGUAGUACGUCCCAAGGGUUGGGCUGUUCGCCCAUGAAAGCGGUACGCGAGCUGGGUUCAGAACGUCGUGAGACAGUUCGGUCCAUAUCCGGUGUAGGCGUUAGAAUAUUGAGAGGAGCCUUCUUUAGUACGAGAGGACCGAGAAGGACAUACCUAUGGUGUACCAGUUAUCGUGCCAACGGUAAACGCUGGGUAGCUAAGUAUGGAGUGGAUAACCGCUGAAAGCAUCUAAGUGGGAAGCCCACCUCAAGAUGAGUAUUC
RNAcentral lists this ribosomal RNA (1239 nucleotides) under metagenome. RNAcentral describes it as "bacterial LSU rRNA". It matches the Rfam family "Bacterial large subunit ribosomal RNA", at positions 1564 to 2813 of the family's 2925-position model. The record is from RNAcentral.